AGCUUGCAUUGCAUUUAGAGAAAUUAAAAUCUGCUUGUUAGCAUCUAAUGUCUUGUAGGAUUUAGAAGUAUGUCUAAGCUACUUGAAUCAUUGGCCUUAAUAAAUCUAGUAAGCAUAAGCAUGAAUUGAGUCACGCUUGUUGCCUUGAUUGCAUAAAGAAUCAUCUAGUCUUGUGUUCAUUUGGAUUGAAUCUGUUUCAUUCAUAUAGUUAGUGUGUAACCUAAUGCAUUCAUCUAUUGUUGCAUUUAAAAAAUAAACUGAAUUGAAAGCAUACAUUGAGAUCAGUAUAUUGUUGAAAGCAUACAUUGUCUUUUCAUAUUCUUGUCUUGAUUGUCUAGCUUGUUUCAAGUAUCAUAUAUUAUUGUGGCAUUGGUGAUCAAACAGGAUGGAUGAUCUUGGUUUGAUUCCAAUGGGAUGAUCUGAUCUUGCAUUGAGUUGUGGUGGUGUUAGGUACACAAGGGAAGUGAUACAUGUAACUCGCCAUCAACCAAGAAUGUAGAGCCAAAGGUCUUGUGCCAUUACAUAUCAUCACUUGGACAUGUUAGUCCAUAAUCUACAGGAAGUGUAGUGUGAUUGAUUAUGCAAUGAGAGAUGGCCAUUGCAUAAUACCAUUGGACAUAUCU
RNAcentral lists this long non-coding RNA (623 nucleotides) under Brassica napus (rape). Its description in RNAcentral is "long non-coding RNA (BNAP_LNC024532)". Lineage: Eukaryota; Viridiplantae; Streptophyta; Magnoliopsida; Brassicales; Brassicaceae. The record is from RNAcentral.